This is a long non-coding RNA of Hemicordylus capensis (graceful crag lizard), 3310 nucleotides long. RefSeq lists it as uncharacterized. The record is from RefSeq and is a predicted model, not a curated record. The transcript is spliced from 2 exons. Lineage: Eukaryota; Metazoa; Chordata; Lepidosauria; Squamata; Cordylidae.
UCAUUUUUGGAAGGGUGGUAUAGAAAUUGAAUUAAUAAUGAUAAUUAUUUCUUGUUUACACAGUCAGGCAGGUGUUAUUGACUGGUUUGUUUUAUCCAGACAUCAAGUCCUUUCCAAGGACCUGGGAUGGCUGAAUUUUGUUAUCAAUAUUGUUCUUGUUGUUAUAGAUAUCGUCGCAGAAUAUAAGCCGUUCCCAGUAAUGUUGCUUUUUGUAAUUGAUGGUGAUUUCUGUGGUCCCUAUUUUGUUGAGGUAUUCGAUUUCUAUACCACCCUUCCAAAAAUGACUCGGGGUGGUUUAUACAGAGAAAUAAUAAAUAAGAUGGCUCCCUGUCCCCAAAGGGCUCACAGUCUAAAAAGAAAAAUAAGAUAGACACCAGCAACAGUAACUGGAGGUACUGUGCUGGGGGUGGAUAGGGCCACUUACUCUCCCCCUGCUAAAUAAAGAGAAUCACCACAUUAAAUGGUGCCUCUUUGCCACAUUAGCAGAUGUUGCUAAUUCUACUACCUUAUUGAUAAUUUAUUUGUCAUUUUUCAUUGUUCUUUGUUGUAUAAUACAGUCCUUAUUGCUUGUUGAUGUUUGAUUCAGCUGAAGGUCAGGAGGAUAUGUGGUCUAUGGGUAGACUUCAUGAUGAAAGGGCUAACAGAUAUGGCAAAUCUAAAAUUGAAUGUCCAGAAUUUCUUGGCUACUGAUUUUUGUGUGUGUACAGGAUGAACAGAGUCCAUGUGAGUGAACAUUCUCUCGUAUCACUUUGGAAUUGCUGGCUGAAAUGACUGAGAAAGAACCAAGACAAAGCUUUUGAGCACCUGCCUUGCAUCAGACUUGAGCAUCAGACUUGACUCUAGCCCUUCUCCAAGUUAACAGCUGGUUAGCUUCCUCAGCUGAGUCCUUCGUGAGGAAGCAGUGGUGAAAAAACGGAUACCUAGGCAAUUUUCAAGGACUAUUCUCAUACAUUUCUGGAAAUUUGAAUACACCCAUCUCAGCCAGCUGUUUAAGUUUUUGGAUCUGGAAUCAAGCAUAUUAUAACCCUUCGAUACUUCAGUGACCCAUGAGGACUAUCUAAUCUCCUACGUGAAUGGGAAUGACCUACCAAGGAAACAUCAGAAACUUUACUCAUUGGGUACAUAUAGGAGCUUAGUUUCUCCUCCUUAAACAUUUGCUUUUUCUAGUCUAUAUAUGGCUUAUGUAUGAUGGGUUAUAUUGAUUACUAUCCUUCCAUAUUGUAAUAUAUUUCUCCUGCCCUAUUCAUGUAUUUACACUCUGUGAUACUUUAUAAUCAUUUGUGACUUUGUGAAAUUGAUAUUAAUAUAUGGUUGUUCUAACUAACCUUAAUUAGGUGAUAUUGAUACAUUAAUAUAUGGAUUGAUUAUAUCUGUCUUUGAGUAUGUGCAUUAGUCUCUUCCACUGCAUUUGCUUAUUCCAUUAACACGGUUUUUCUCAGCAGGAGAGACAUACAUUAUUUUUUCUUGUAGAGUAGGCCUGGGUAAGACGUUAGGGUUACCAUUUAUGCCAGAAAAGUGCUUUAUUUUAUUAAUUUCUUAAUAAUUUCUGUGGGAUAAUUUAUGCAAAGAAGCAUUGUGUCCUAGAUUCUCAGUCUCCUCUGGUCACCAGCUGUCAACAGUACUAAAGAUGAACUUGAGGCAUGCCCCGCCCCCCCAUCUCAGCAUUUGAAGGCGCCAAAGCUGGAGUAAGCUGUGUAAAGGCAGUAUUACAAUCACUGCCACAUGGUGAAAUGCUUUUACAAUGUAAAAUGUGCAUUGUACAAUGUACAAAGCUUUUCCAGUCCUCAAAGCCAGAAAUGAGAGAGAUGCCAUUGGCCACAUGCUAGAAAACCCAUGAUAAAAACGACUACUAUACUGGUUUCAGCUCUCUGGUUGACUCAGUGGAGUUACUGCCUUCUUUUGUAAAUAAACUCUGAGAUAGCACAAGCAUGUGUCAGUCUUGGUGCCCCGCCCUGCCCUGAUGUCUUGUUUUGUUCUUUGUUGCAGAAACUCUUCUUUGACCAACUUGCAGUCUUUGUAUAGGAAACAGAUUGAUCAUUAAUACAAAGCAAGCAAAGUGGUCACCAGCCUGGGUUGUACUGUGGCUUAAUCAUACAGUGUCUGGACCUUCCACGAGUGCCAGAGCAGAGACUAUGAGGAGAAAUGGGUCUUUAAAAGUUCACUUCUAGGUAGCAGCAAAGCAGAGUUUGCUGAUAUGAUAUGGAUAUAGCAAGGCUUGGCUUUGAAUGUGAUGAGGUUGCUGUAUCAGUGAAUGGCAGCCUCAGGACUGACCACAUUAGUAUUUAGAAGGAAAGAUGUAUGAUGGGAGAAAAAGUAGGAAGGCCUUAAUGAAAUCUUUAAGACUCCCUGCCAAAUCAUGGCCUCACUGUAGCCUUCUAAAAAGGGGUCCAACACAACAGCCCAGACUCCCUGCCACCCUCUGAUCUGAUCACUACUAUUCUGCCCCAUGCCAUCCACACAGAGGCCAAGUGACCAUAUUAAUCAGGCUUUAAUUCCAAGUAUCUCCUUGUUCCCAGACUUGAAGUAUUCUUUUAAGCAAAUUAAAUGAAAGAUGCUGUAAUUGCUUGACAAUCAGAAACACAUCAGUACAGUCAAUUAUAAUGAAGGACAAAGCCAAUUUGGUAACAAAUUGUACAUAUUGUACAAAUCGUACACUGUUUGAAGGUGAAUGAUCUUAACACAGCGGUACAUAUCUUGGUAACCUCCAGGCUUGACUACUGUAAUGCACUCUGUGUGGGGCUGCCUUUGUACAUAGUCCAGAAACUACAAUUGGUACAGAAUGUGGCAGCCAGAUUGGUCUCUGGGACAACUCAAAAGAACACAUAACAGUUUAAGGGAUCUGCACUGGCUGCCGAUAUGUUUCUGGGUGAAAUCAAAGUCCAGGUUAUUUAAGAGAGCACCUCCUUUGUCAUGAGCCCUGCCACCUGUUGUGAUCUUCUGGAGAGGUCCAGUUAGUUGCCACCAGCUCAUUUGGUGGUGACCCAGGACCGAGCUUUCUCUGUGGCUGCCCCAGAGCUUUGGAAUAUGCUCCCUGCUGAAAUAAGAGCAUCUCCUUCUCUGUUUGAUUUCAGGAAACCCUCAAGGCUCACCUGUUCUCACAGGUUUUGAAUUUGAAUUAAUUUUAAUAAUUUGUUUUAAUAAUUGUUUUAUGCUACUGUUCUUAUUUCUGUUUUAUGCUACUGUUUUAAUUGUUUCAUGUAUCUUAAUCUGUGCUGAUUUUUAAAUGUUACAAAUUUUGUACACCGCCUAGAGAUGUAUAGAUCAGGUGGGAUAAAAAUAUGAUAGAUAAAUAAAUAAUAGGUAAACAAGC